UAGAUUGAAGCCAGUUGUUUAGGGUGUUUAGCUGUUAACUAAAAGUUCGUAGGUUUAAAGCCUACCAGUCUAG
This 73-nucleotide transfer RNA is filed under the name Choeroniscus minor (lesser long-tailed bat). RNAcentral's name for it is "tRNA-Asn". It matches the Rfam family "tRNA". From Rfam's summary of the family: Transfer RNA (tRNA) molecules are approximately 80 nucleotides in length. Their secondary structure includes four short double-helical elements and three loops (D, anti-codon, and T loops). Further hydrogen bonds mediate the characteristic L-shaped molecular structure. tRNAs have two regions of fundamental functional importance: the anti-codon, which is responsible for specific mRNA codon recognition, and the 3' end, to which the tRNAs corresponding amino acid is attached (by aminoacyl-tRNA synthetases). tRNAs cope with the degeneracy of the genetic code in two manners: having more than one tRNA (with a specific anti-codon) for a particular amino acid; and 'wobble' base-pairing, i.e. permitting non-standard base-pairing at the 3rd anti-codon position. Lineage: Eukaryota; Metazoa; Chordata; Mammalia; Chiroptera; Phyllostomidae. The record is from RNAcentral.